This is a long non-coding RNA of Helianthus annuus (common sunflower), 810 nucleotides long. RefSeq lists it as uncharacterized. NCBI's taxonomy places the organism in Eukaryota, Viridiplantae, Streptophyta, Magnoliopsida, Asterales, Asteraceae. The record is from RefSeq and is a predicted model, not a curated record. The transcript has 4 exons.
UCCUCUAAAUUGAGUUCCCUCCCACCAUUUCAAUUUUCAAUUUUUCAUCUAUAGAUAAUUAGAUACUAUAUAGCAACACGGUUUCACAUUUUCCUCUUUCACCAACAAAACCUCCUUUUCUUUCCCUCUUAUUCUUCUAUGGUUUUGAGAAUAAAGUGUUAAAGUAGCGAGAGAAACUUUUACCUCUCGAUAUGCUCACGUUGGUCUACAGAUUGUAGCUACCAUGAUGCCUGAUGAAUAUAGGUGAAAAAAGAUUUGGAUACUAUUAUAGAUACAAUUGUUGAAUGAGGAAAUAAGGCAAUUGCGACAAGUGAAAGAAACAAAAAGAUUAGAGAAAGAAAAAGAAAGAGCAGAGAAACUCAAAAUGAUGGAGCAAUUUAAGGAAAAUUGGAUUGCAAAUGCCGAAAUGAAAGAACGAGUUCAAUUCACAAGUAGACAUUCAAAUUGAUGAAUGUGAUGUGUUUACUUGGAAGGGAUCAUUUUAAUAUUUCGUCUUAUAAUGAUUUCAGGACAAGAAACAAUAUAAAGCAUGGGGAACAAUACUAGGCUAAAGAGAUAACUUUGUUGUGCAUUAAAAAAAGAAGAGGUAAUACGGUUUUGGUUGCAAGUAUGAAUUGAAGACGUUGGUAUUGGGUUGCAAGUAUGAUGACAUCGGUUCGGGACGCUAUUGUAUAUCACUUUCAUCAUCUUUAGAGAUAUAUGUAUUUAUGUUACUUUAAAACUCUUGUAAUCUUAUGUUAUUUUGAAACCUUUGUAAUUUGUAUUCUUAGAUUCUAUUAUAUUGGUUCUAAUUUAAUUUUGUUUUUUGUA